This 449-nucleotide ribosomal RNA is filed under the name uncultured bacterium. Its description in RNAcentral is "partial 16S ribosomal RNA". It matches the Rfam family "Bacterial small subunit ribosomal RNA", at positions 29 to 523 of the family's 1533-position model. The record is from RNAcentral.
AACGAACGCUGGCGGCAGGCCUAACACAUGCAAGUCGAACGCUGUAGCAAUACAGAGUGGCAGACGGGUGAGUAACACGUGGGAAUCUUCCUAUCGGUACGGAAUAGCUCCGGGAAACUUGGGGUAAUACCGCAUACGCCCUUCGGGGGAAAGAUUUAUCGCCGAGAGAUGAGACCGCGUCUGAUUAGCUAGUUGGUGAGGUAAUGGCUCACCAAGGCGACGAUCAGUAGCUGGUCUGAGAGGAUGACCAGCCACGCUGGGACUGAGACACGGCCCAGACUCCGACGGGAGGCAGCAGUGGGGAAUAUUGGACAAUGGGCGCAAGCCUGAUCCAGCCAUGCCGCGUGAGUGACGAAGGUCUUCGGAUUGUAAAGCUCUUUUGGCGGGGACGAUAAUGACGGUACCCGCAGAAUAAGCCCCGGCUAACUUCGUGCCAGCCGCCGCCGUAA